This 148-nucleotide long non-coding RNA is filed under the name Monodelphis domestica (gray short-tailed opossum). RNAcentral describes it as "lncRNA (ENSMODG00000040749.1)". The record is from RNAcentral. Lineage: Eukaryota; Metazoa; Chordata; Mammalia; Didelphimorphia; Didelphidae.
AUGAAGAAAAAUUGACAUUCAAAGAAAAGACUCAAGAGAAGCACAAAAAAGUAUUCCCUUUUUGCCUGUGCAAAUAAAACUACAUCCUCUGAGUUCCAAAUGUGGGAUUCUCAGAACACAUCCUCCUGGAAGAGAAGGCUAUCAUGAG